This 253-nucleotide ribosomal RNA is filed under the name uncultured bacterium. Its description in RNAcentral is "partial 16S ribosomal RNA". It matches the Rfam family "Bacterial small subunit ribosomal RNA", at positions 524 to 776 of the family's 1533-position model. The record is from RNAcentral.
UACGGAGGGUGCAAGCGUUAUCCGGAUUUACUGGGUUUAAAGGGUGCGUAGGCGGGGAAUUAAGUCAGAGGUGAAAUCUCGUCGCUUAACGACGGAAUUGCCUUUGAUACUGAUUUUCUUGAGAUAUGUUGAGGUUGGCGGAAUGUGACAUGUAGCGGUGAAAUGCAUAGAUAUGUCAUAGAACACCGAUUGCGAAGGCAGCUGACUGGGCAUUAUCUGACGCUGAUGCACGAAAGCGUGGGGAUCAAACAGG